UCCCCUGUAGCUCAAUUGGCAGAGCGUUCGACUGUUAAUCGAAAUGUUGGUGGUUCGAGUCCACCCGGGGGAGCCA
RNAcentral lists this transfer RNA (76 nucleotides) under Candidatus Roizmanbacteria bacterium RIFCSPHIGHO2_01_FULL_39_12b. Its description in RNAcentral is "tRNA-Asn". It matches the Rfam family "tRNA". From Rfam's summary of the family: Transfer RNA (tRNA) molecules are approximately 80 nucleotides in length. Their secondary structure includes four short double-helical elements and three loops (D, anti-codon, and T loops). Further hydrogen bonds mediate the characteristic L-shaped molecular structure. tRNAs have two regions of fundamental functional importance: the anti-codon, which is responsible for specific mRNA codon recognition, and the 3' end, to which the tRNAs corresponding amino acid is attached (by aminoacyl-tRNA synthetases). tRNAs cope with the degeneracy of the genetic code in two manners: having more than one tRNA (with a specific anti-codon) for a particular amino acid; and 'wobble' base-pairing, i.e. permitting non-standard base-pairing at the 3rd anti-codon position. RNAcentral also lists the same sequence under 1 other name. The record is from RNAcentral. Lineage: Bacteria; Candidatus Roizmaniibacteriota.